Molecule: ribosomal RNA, 445 nt
Filed under: uncultured bacterium
Lineage: Bacteria
Description: partial 16S ribosomal RNA
Rfam family: Bacterial small subunit ribosomal RNA
Source: RNAcentral
GUAGGGAAUAUUGGGCAAUGGAUGCAAGUCUGACCCAGCCAUCCCGCGUGCCGGAAGAAGGCCCUCAGGGUUGUAAACGGCUUUUGACGGUGAAGAACCGACAGGAUGCGUCCUGUUUUGACGGUAGCCGUUGAAUAAGCACCGGCUAACUCCGUGCCAGCAGCCGCGGUAAUACGGAGGGUGCGAGCGUUGUCCGGAUUUAUUGGGUUUAAAGGGUGCGUAGGCUGGAAGGUCAGUCAGCGGUGAAAAGCUAUCGCUUAACGAUAGUCUUGCCGCAGAUACUUCCUUUCGUGGAUGAGGAGGAGGCCACUGGAACGGAUGGUGUAGCGGUGAAAUGCAUAGAUAUCAUCCAGAACACCGAUUGCGAAGGCAGGUGGCUGUACCUUAAUCGACGCUGAUGCACGAAAGCAUGGGGAGCAAACAGGAUUAGAAACCCCGGUAGUCC